AACACAUCAACACUCCACCAUUUUCUUCUGAUCAAUCCCACACCAUCUUCAUGAACUCUUCACACUGUUAUCCUCACAUUCACUGCUCGAAAUGGUAAAGCCCCUCAAACCCAUAUUUCUCUAUUCCUUAAAUCCGCAUCGAAGGAGCAAGUUCAGGGGUUUUACUUAUCUGGGUCGUCUUCAAUUUUCAUCAAAACCCGAUCUUUUUGAUCAAUCUGAGUCCAUACAAACAGAGGAAAGUAAGAGGCUUUUGUUUAUUGUUUCUAAGGUAUCGGAUAUUUUGUCUAAUCCUCGGCUGCAAUGGCAGACAAAUGGAGAGCUUCAGUCAUUGAGCUCCAUAGUAAGACCCCCACACGUGGCAAAACUCGUUGAGAUCCAUGAAAAUACUGAAGUAGCUUUGCAGUUUUUUUACUGG
Molecule: long non-coding RNA, 415 nt
Filed under: Solanum tuberosum (potato)
Lineage: Eukaryota; Viridiplantae; Streptophyta; Magnoliopsida; Solanales; Solanaceae
Description: long non-coding RNA (STUB_LNC007585)
Source: RNAcentral